UGGGGAAUAUUGCACAAUGGGGGAAACCCUGAUGCAGCGACGCCGCGUGAGUGAAGAAGUAAUUCGUUAUGUAAAGCUCUAUCAGCAGGGAAGAAGAAGGACGGUACCUGAGUAAGAAGCCCCGGCUAACUACGUGCC
RNAcentral lists this ribosomal RNA (138 nucleotides) under uncultured bacterium. Its description in RNAcentral is "partial 16S ribosomal RNA". It matches the Rfam family "Bacterial small subunit ribosomal RNA", at positions 355 to 509 of the family's 1533-position model. The record is from RNAcentral.